CCUACGGGGAGCUGCAGUGAGGAAUAUUGGUCAAUGGGCGAGAGUCUGAACCAGCAAAGCAGCGUGAAGGAUGACUGCCCUAUGGGUUGUAAACUUCUUUUAUAUGGAAAUAAAAUGUUCCACGUGUGGGAUUUUGUCUGUACCAUAUGAAUAAGCAUCGGCUAACUCCGUUCCAUCAGCCGCGGUAAUACGGCGGAUCCGAUCGUUAUCCGGAUUUAUUGGGUUUAAAGGGAGCGUAGGUGGAUUGUUAAGUCAGUUGUGAAAGUUUGCGGCUCAACCGUAAAAUUGCAGUUGAAACUGGCAGUCUUGAGUACAGUAGAGGUGGGCGGAAUUCGUGGUGUAGCGGUGAAAUGCUUAGAUAUCACGAAGAACUCCGAUUGCGAAGGCAGUUCACUGGACUGCAACUGACACUGAGGCUCGAAAGUGUGGGUAUCAAACAGGAUUAGAUACCCGGGUAGUC
Molecule: ribosomal RNA, 460 nt
Filed under: uncultured bacterium
Lineage: Bacteria
Description: partial 16S ribosomal RNA
Rfam family: Bacterial small subunit ribosomal RNA
Source: RNAcentral